CCGAAAAUAGCUCAGCGGUAGAGCGGGAGACUGUAGUUGCGUUACAAGCCUAGCUUGUAUUAAGUUGUUAUCUCUAGGUCCCUGGUUCAAAUCCGGGUUUUCGGA
RNAcentral lists this transfer RNA (105 nucleotides) under Kickxella alabastrina. Its description in RNAcentral is "tRNA-Tyr". It matches the Rfam family "tRNA". From Rfam's summary of the family: Transfer RNA (tRNA) molecules are approximately 80 nucleotides in length. Their secondary structure includes four short double-helical elements and three loops (D, anti-codon, and T loops). Further hydrogen bonds mediate the characteristic L-shaped molecular structure. tRNAs have two regions of fundamental functional importance: the anti-codon, which is responsible for specific mRNA codon recognition, and the 3' end, to which the tRNAs corresponding amino acid is attached (by aminoacyl-tRNA synthetases). tRNAs cope with the degeneracy of the genetic code in two manners: having more than one tRNA (with a specific anti-codon) for a particular amino acid; and 'wobble' base-pairing, i.e. permitting non-standard base-pairing at the 3rd anti-codon position. The record is from RNAcentral. Lineage: Eukaryota; Fungi; Kickxellomycota; Kickxellomycetes; Kickxellales; Kickxellaceae.